Molecule: RNA transcript, 2089 nt
Organism: Quercus robur (English oak)
Lineage: Eukaryota; Viridiplantae; Streptophyta; Magnoliopsida; Fagales; Fagaceae
Gene name: cytochrome P450 CYP749A22-like
Exons: 6
Source: RefSeq, a predicted model, not a curated record
UAAUUCAGUACUUUCAUUCAUAUUGGACUUGGUGUACUUGAAGCUCACAAAAGUCAAUUCAACAAAUCCACAUUCAUUAUCCCUAAUAAAAAGUUGGAACAUUAUUGAGGAUAACCAUCUAAUUCUAAACUUCCCAAAAGAUUCCUUCAAAAAGAGAAAAUGGUUGCUGUUGAAAUCCUUGUAAUCGGUCUUACAAGCUCUCUGUGCCUGUACUUUCUCUUAACUCUCAUCCGGGGCCUUCACAAACUAUGGUGGACUCCAAUUCACAUGAGGAAUCAAUUGAGUUCACAGGGAAUCAAAGGUCCUUCCUACAGAUUCUUCCACGGAAGCACCAAAGAAAUUUCCAACAUGAGAAAAGAAGCCAUCAGCAGGCCAAUGAAUUUAUCACAUGACAUAUUUUCCAGAAUUCUGCCUCAUGUUCACUCUUGGGUUGACAAAUAUGGUAAUAAUUAUCUUCAAUGGUUUGGCCCUAAAGCUCAACUGGUUGUUACUGAACCAGAGCUAAUCAAAGAGAUAAUGAACAAUAGAGACAACGCUUAUUCAAAGUCUGAUAACGGAAACUAUGCGAAGAAACUCUUAGGAGAUGGGCUUGUGACUUCUGAAGGUGAAAAAUGGGCAAAGAUGCGGAAACUUGCUAAUUCUGCCUUUCAUGCAGAGAGGCUCAAAAAUAUGAUUCCAUCAAUGAUCAGUAGCGUUGAGGUGAUGCUAGAAAGAUGGAAACAUCAUGAAGGUAAAGAGAUUGAGGUAUCUGAAGAAUUUAGGCUAUUGACUUCAGAAGUUAUUUCAAGGACAGCUUUUGGGAGCAGUUACUUAGAAGGGAAGAACAUUUUUCAGAUGUUGAUGAAAUUAGCCUUGAUAUCAUCCAGAAAUGCUUAUAAACUCAGGUUUCCUGGCAUCACUAAAAUUUAUAAAACUAAUGAUGAUAUUGAAUCGGACGAGCUUGUAAAAGGAAUACACAACGCUAUAUUAGAGAUAAUAAAGAAGAGAGAAGAGAAGGUAAUGACUGGAGAGGCUAACAGCAUUGGGGGUGAUUUUCUUCAACUACUUGUACAGGCUCAUCAUGAUGCCAAUGCUAGCCUAAAGAUUUCAAUAGAAGAUUUGGUGGACGAGUGCAAAACAUUUUACAUUGCAGGUCAAGAAACCACUAGUACUUUGCUUGCGUGGACUAUAUUUCUUCUAGCAAUCCACACAGAUUGGCAAGAAAAAGCAAGAAAGGAGGUGCUCAAUUUAUUUGGCCAACAAAAUCCAAACCUGGAUGGAAUCACAAAACUCAAGACUAUGGGUAUGAUCAUCAAUGAGUCUCUGAGGUUAUAUCCACCCGUAAUUGCAAUAACAAGAAAAGUUGAAAGGGAUGUUAGACUGGGGAAGCUCACUCUUCCAGCUAAUUUAUUACUGUACAUGCCAACUCUUGCACCUCACCAUGACCCCAAAAUAUGGGGAGAAGACGUGCAUCUUUUCAAACCAGAGAGAUUCUUGGAAGGUAUUGCCAAGGCUACUAACAACAACAUAGCUGCUUUUUUUCCCUUUGGAAUUGGGCCUCGAACUUGUGUGGGGUUGAACUUUGCAACAACUGAAGCAAAGAUUGCUCUUUCCAUGAUUCUACAACGCUAUGCCUUCACCCUUUCCCCAGCCUAUGUCCACUCACCAUUUCAGCUUCUUACCAUUCGCCCACAACAUGGAGUUCAAGUGAUGCUACACUCAUUGUAAAGACCAGAACUGGCAGUAAAAUGUGCACAGAAUAUCCAGACAUCAAUGCCUUGUGAUGUAUACCGUAGCCUUUUUAUUUUAGUUGUUUCUGAGCUUAAUUGGGAUUUGGUAGCUUGGAGAGUAAGUGAAAAUCAAUGUGCUACACAAAAAAGCGAAUGACAAUUGAAUUAGUAGAAUCAGUAGAGACAUUGAAUACAGGGGUGACCAAUAUGAAGAUUAUGUUGAUCAUUAGUUAGUGUAACGUAAUGGCAUUUGGAGACUUUUCAGGUAUCUCAAGAUCUAAUACGAUCUGGACUGUUGGUCGCGUGUCUUAAUUAAAGUCAUGACUGUUGUCUUAUAUGCUUGUGCUUAAUUUUAAUUUACUAUGACCCUUUUUUGAUCU